Molecule: ribosomal RNA, 504 nt
Filed under: uncultured bacterium
Lineage: Bacteria
Description: partial 16S ribosomal RNA
Rfam family: Bacterial small subunit ribosomal RNA
Source: RNAcentral
ACGAACGCUGGCGGCGUGCCUAAUACAUGCAAGUAGAACGCACAGUUUAUACCGUAGCUUGCUACACCAUAGACUGUGAGUUGCGAACGGGUGAGUAACGCGUAGGUAACCUGCCUGGUAGCGGGGGAUAACUAUUGGAAACGAUAGCUAAUACCGCAUAAUAUUGAUUAUUGCAUGAUAAUUAAUUGAAAGGUGCAAUUGCACCACUACCAGAUGGACCUGCGUUGUAUUAGCUAGUGGGUGAGGUAACGGCUCACCUAGGCGACGAUACAUAGCCGACCUGAGAGGGUGAUCGGCCACACUGGGACUGAGACACGGCCCAGACUCCUACGGGAGGCAGCAGUAGGGAAUCUUCGGCAAUGGACGAAAGUCUGACCGAGCAACGCCGCGUGAGUGAAGAAGGUUUUCGGAUCGUAAAGCUCUGUUGUAAGAGAAGAACGGGUGUGAGAGUGGAAAGUUCACACUGUGACGGUAUCUUACCAGAAAGGGACGGCUAACUACGUG